Molecule: transfer RNA, 85 nt
Filed under: Bacteroidota bacterium
Lineage: Bacteria; Pseudomonadati; Bacteroidota
Also listed under: 1 other name
Description: tRNA-Leu
Rfam family: tRNA
About the family: Transfer RNA (tRNA) molecules are approximately 80 nucleotides in length.
Source: RNAcentral
GCCCGGAUGGCGGAAUUGGUAGACGCGCUGGUCUCAAACACCAGUGGUAGCAAUAUCGUGCCGGUUCGACCCCGGCUCCGGGUAC